UCUACGGGAGGCAGCAGUGGGGAAUAUUGCGCAAUGGGCGAAAGCCUGACGCAGCGACGCCGCGUGAGGGAUGAAGGUCUUCGGAUCGUAAACCUCUGUCAGUAGGGAAGAACGGUCACUGUGCUAAUCAGCAGUGAAUUGACGGUACCUGCAAAGGAAGCACCGGCUAACUCCGUGCCAGCCGCCGCGGUGAUACGGAGGGUGCGAGCGUUAAUCGGAAUUGCUGGGCGUAAAGCGCGCGUAGGCGGUAUGUCAAGUCAAGGGUGAAAUCCCCGGGCUCAACGUGGGAACUGCCUUUGAAACUGGCAAACUGGAGUGUGUGAGAGGAAAGUGGAAUUCCAGGUGUAGGAGUGAAAUCCGUAGAUAUCUGGAGGAACAUCAGUGGCGAAGGCGACUAUCUGGCACAUAACUGACGCUGAGGAGCGAAAGCGUGGGUAGCAAACAGGAUUAGAUACCCCAGUAGUC
This 465-nucleotide ribosomal RNA is filed under the name uncultured bacterium. Its description in RNAcentral is "partial 16S ribosomal RNA". It matches the Rfam family "Bacterial small subunit ribosomal RNA", at positions 338 to 795 of the family's 1533-position model. The record is from RNAcentral.